CAAGUUGUUUUUAUCGUCUGACUUCACAUCCUUUGCUGCCUUCAUCACAAUCUCCUCUGCCAAGCUUUCUCUCUCUUCUGAUUUCACUUCCCUGGCUGCUUUCAUCACAGUCUCCUCUGGUAAGUUCUUUUCCUCCUCUAACUUCACAUCCUUUGCUGUCUUUACAACAAUCUCCUCCUCUAAGUUAUUUUUCUCCUCUGACUUUACAUCUUUUGCCGCUUUCAUCGCAAUCAACUCUGCUAGGUUCCCUUUCUCCUCUGACUUUACAUCCUUUUCCACAUGCAAGUCCCCAUUGUUUAAUAUCUUGAUGAAGUCAACUCCACUCAGUUCUUGCUCUUUUUUAACUGAAGCUUCAUUUAGACCCAGCGUAAAUGUCCCAUUGAUUGGUGACAAGUCUGGUGAAUGAGGCGGACUGAUGAGGGACACCCGGAGUUUGUUCUCUUCUACGUACCUGCCUUCAUCCUUUGCAAACUGAUAGACACACAAAUGAGAAAGCAACAAAAUAAUAAAAUUCGGGCUCUGUGGGAAGAAAAUCCGUACCAUGGCAGAUGUGAUGUCCUCGUCUGUUGUACCAGGAGGAACAACAGUUCCUUGGACUAAGAACUUGUCUUUGCAUAUCAUAUCCGUGGGAGCAGUACGUUGAGCUUGCAUUUUAACUACAAUUGACAUGACAUACACGGUAAGAAACUCAGCAUUACCACUGAAAUGCCAAAUAUCAAUCUUAGUGGUCUAAUAUGGUCUUGGUUUUAUUUACUGACCAGUACGGCAUGAUAAUCCUCACCAAAACAAAAAGAAGCCAAAGAACUGAACAUGUCCAAUAUGCUAUAUCACUAACAUAUUCCGCUCAUUUCUGUUCCACAAGAAUGCGAAAUCUUUGUAUGUAUGAUUUGAAUUUCUAAGCAAUGUGAAAAGAAACAUGUGAAAUGAAAAUUAGCAUUCAUGAAAAUCCUGUUGAUAUAUCUGUGAUUUUAAUACUCACUCCUCUCUAACGUCCAACUCACAAUUUCUAUAGGAGGAGAGAACCCCACAUCUUUAAUCAUAGAUCAAAUGUUUCAAAUAGUAAACAUUUGAUUAUUCGUUCUCCACAAUCAUGGCAUUUCAACAAUUAAAAUCGUAAACUUGGAAACUCCUAAUAACUUCUUGUGUGUGCUUGACUCAGAGACCAAUAUACCCAUCCUUACCUAAAACUCAGGCAUUUCAACAAGAUGACCAGACAUAUACACCAGUUUCACAGUAAAUGUCGAUAAGAUGGCAUACCAUUGAAAUUGCAUGAAGAUUCUGGGGCAAUAACUCCAGCAUUUGGUUGAACACAAUAUUUCUUUGGAGAUGUAGUUUUGACCUGCCACAGUAGUAGUUUCCAGUUUCAGAUUACUUCAUAUUCAGAUUUUGAAUCCUGGCAAUAUUAAGCUACCAAAACACUGUCAAAUGAUAGGUUAUUUUACCUUAAAAGCGACAUAUUGACGAGAACGAUUCACGAGUCGGAUGGUACACGUACUUUGCUUCUUCAGCUCAACUAGCAACGAGAGAAAUAGAUAAGCAGUAAUUAGUUCACAUUCCUCAACUUUGUGCGGGUUAACUUCAAAAAGCAUGAGAAGAAAAAGAAGACGCAAAGCAGUGACCAAAUAAUCUCGAUGCAAAAUUCAUGAUAGAGGAUACCAAACAAACAUCGACAAUUUCAGAAGCAUACAUGUGGAAUAAAAGGUUUGCUACUUUUGGCGAAAUACUUCAAUAUUACAAGUACUGUUCCCACUGUAUAUUCCUCCCGAAGCAGAUUUAUAGGAAGAAGCUAGCGUUGUGUAUCUAAUUCCCAGAGCCUUACAUAUAAAUUUGAGUUCACGAGGCUGAAUGUCCAGAAGCUGCCACUCCAUGUGCUCUCAGAGAAUCCAGAUUCACAACAACUCUUCUUAGCAUCAAGAGCCACCAAUGGAAUCCCCCGAUCUCCUCCUCUGCAAAUCGAGAAUUUAAAAUUGCGAAUAAGAUCCUGCCAUUGAUUAAAACAAUGGAAAACUUGAAAAGGCCAUCGACAAAUGAAAACAUCAGAUAAUCACACAUAAGAAUCGAGAUCAGAACAGCGCAGAUAGAGGACCGAUUCAUCUCUUUUCGACUGCCUAAUCCAUAGGAACAAAAAAGGAGCUCCGUUAUUCCUCGAUCAUUUCCAACCAUGACGACAGAACCGAGAUCACCAUGGACGCAACGAAACGCUAUACAAUAAAAAGUUCGCGAGCUUAGUAGCAAAUCGAUCCUAACUCAGAACAACCGUCCCGAUCACGCCAUCAACGCUGUCGUCAACUUCCAAGGUUAACUAUCAACAAUCCAGAAAACUCAACAAACAAAAUGCAACGUCUCCAUGCGAAUUCGAAAAAGCACAAUCGGAGGACGACGAGCACCGGUACCGACAAACUGCGAAGCUAAUAAAGCGAGCUCAAAAAAAGCACUCGGCAGUCAACGCUCAACGAAGAAGACUCCGUACAACGACUAAAAGGCGAAGAAAGCGCGUUCACCAGCGAGGAGAAUCGCAACAGCCCGAACUCGAAGUCGACCGCUUCGAAAACCGAGCCGAGACGGAAUCGCCGCACGAAUCUCGGAUCAAGCCGCGUCCGACUCGGAUUCCGACUCGCCUCGAACUCAGCCCGCUCGACAGAGCUCCCGAUCCCCGCGCGAUCACGAGCCGGGAGUAAAAAAAAAAAAUUCCAAACGGAAACCCGGCGGAUUACGGGGCCACCCGGCUCGAACUCGCCGCGAGGCGCGGGAAAGACGACGCGGUUUCCGAGGCGGCCGGCCGACGGACGGAGGCGUUGCGGCGGCGGCGACGAGGAGGCGGAAGAAGGACUCGAGAAACGACGCGGGCGGGGGAGCGGACGAGAGAGAGGGAGGGAGGGCGUGGGGAUUUAAGGCGAGAGCUUGCCGUUUUCUCUUCUUCCGCCGCGGGGGUGAGGGGAGGAGGAGAGGAGGAUGACGUCAGGCUUCGUUUGGUGCGAGCUGCUGCGCAGGGAGCGAGGACACCGAGAAAAUCCACAGUCGCAGAGAGAGAGAGAGAGAGAGAGAGAAGUUGGUGAUCGCUGACGCUGAAGUGGAGAGAGAGAGGGGGGAGACUGGGGAAAUGGGAGUGGAAGGCAAGUAAUGAAGACGGGGGAGAUUUUUUUUUUUUUUUUUUCCGGUCCGAUUUGCUGAGGGCGGUUGUACCGGUCGCGGUCGGUCGGUGGAUUUGGAUCCGAUUUAUGUCGUGUUUGACCACUAAGGUUGCGCUUAACAAAUUUUUUGAAAUAUAAAUUAAUUUCUCAAUUUCUAUUUCAAAAAUUGAAAAAUUCAAAAUUUUAGUUUUUAAUUUUUAUUUCAAGUCUAUUUCUGAAAUAAAAAUUUAUUUCAGAGAUAGAAAAAUCAAAUUGCGCUACCUAACAAAUUUCUGUUCCAAAUCUAUUCCAAAGAACAUAGAAACAGAUAAAUAGAGAAGUAUAAAUUUUAUUAAGUAAGCCCUAAAAAACUAAUAAAUAUUCUUAUUUAUUGGAUUUUUUUAGGGGGGCAAAUCGACAUAAAUCACUUGUGGACUUUGAGUUAAUAUACAAUAUCGUCUUUUAAUAUAUUCAAUAUCAUUCUUAAACUUAAGCCCAAUGUGUGACGCUGUUCUUAAACUUUUGAUUUGCACGACUUGAUCCUUAAACUUUUUGUUUGUGUUUGAUGUUGUACUUGGACGGCAUGAAAAUGGACGAAGUUUUUUUUUUUUUUUAUGUCAUUGACCAUUUUCAAUAUCAUUCAAAUAACUUACCAAAGGUUCUUGAAUUACAUUGAAUAAAUCAAAAAUUCAAAUACGCUAUUACAUAUUAAGAUAGAGUGCAGGAACCGUAUUAAACGGAUUAAAAGUUCACGAACGAUGUUGUGAUUGAGAGUAAGUUAAGAUGCAUGAUUUAUAGCUGAGAGCAUAAUUCGAAAUGCCAUCCUCCACUGUAGCUCUAUGUUCGUUGUCACGCGAAACACGUGCCAAGCAGAGACUGAAUAAUUGCAUAUCGUUUCCGUUUAUUUCAGUUAUAUGUUUUUCUUUGAUAUUAAUUUGCUCGAGAGGCAAGACGACACACGUUCUCUUUUGUUGUUCGGGGGACCAAAAUUGGAUGCGACGUUUUGGUCGUGAGCGGGACCUUCGCUUCUAGAAUUCGCAAUUUUGGGACUUGCCGAAAUUGAAUAGGAGGGAGGGAGGGAGGGAUUUUUCUUGGCAAUUUUUUUCGAGAAUAUCUUCUUUGAAUUUAAAGUCUUUUGGCCUGUCGCAGAACGAGGCUCGUUUUCAGAAGAUGAAUAGACCGGACGCGAUGAACAUGAACGUGUACGAGAGAAAUCGAAUUUUCGUUCUCUUCUGGAAGCCGCCCGAAUUUGACCAUUUCCCCUCUCCCACAUUCUUCGUUUUGUCAAGGCGUGCGUCGCAUCAGCAGAGUCUCGCUCUUGGAUAGCUGUAAGUUUUUUUUUUUCCUUUUUUUUUAAAGAAAAGAUUACGAUACCAUUAAAGCUAUCUUAAAUUUAGUCUGAAUUCUUGGACGUAAAAUUUCGAGAGUAUUCCACUUGAAUAGAGAAGAAAAACACUUAUCAAGGAACUAGGGGACCAUCAAGGGGAUUUGAAUGUAGACUCUCUUCACUUUUUUGAAAGUGACUAUUGCUAAGUAAGUAAAUAUAAUAACCUUUCACACCUAGAACGAGAUUUCGAUAUUUGUGUGCUUUGCAUAGUGUCUCAUGACCAAUUAGUUGACUAGUCAAUAUAUAUGAUAAUAUGUGAAGGAUUAUAAUACCAUUAAAGAUAUCUCAAAUUAAUACCCCGUGGUGCAUUCAUCAAAAAUUUAAUUUUCAUCUCAUAAAAAAUCCACACUAGUAACCCAAAACGAGAUCUAUCCUUUUGCUAAAAUGUAUACGUGUCGACAUAUGUGGAUUUUCAAACGUUGGAUAUGUUAUUCUUUGCAAUGGACUCUUUGCCACUUCAUGUCAACGUGUAUGCGUCUUAUCAAAGUACUGGGGGGAAUGCUAAAGAAUGAUGGAUUUAGAUCAAGAGUGCCAGCUUUGGUUUUUUUGUGAGACUGAGGUAAAUGUGUCGUAGGCAUUGAUUUGAGAUUUUAAUGGUAUUAAUUCAGAAAAUAAUUAUUGCAUCUAAUGUCGAGCUUGAUCUCAAUAAUUAACAAUAUUUAAAGCCAAUUGGUAGGUCAUUGUAUUACUCUAAUGCAUGUCAUUAGGCAGAAAAUCACCUCUCAUUUUAGGUCGCAAUGCAAUAGAGAACCAUAUUAUAUGUGCUGAACAAACAAAAUGCGCGAGCCGAUAAAAAAAAAAAAAAUGCGAGAGACUUCAUUUAUAGACUUUUUGGAUCAUAAUGACGAGUUUUGAUAGAAUUACUUUUUUUUAUAUGGAAUAUAAAAUGUGACCACAAUAGACAUGAUUAAGGAUAACUGAGACUUGACUCUUUUUGCUUAAAGUGACCGCAAGUAAUGGGAAAUGAUCGAUCUUUUGAUAGACCCCUAAAGGGAUUGCAAUCAAUUUGAAGGUCAAAAGUGCAUUGGACCAUGGAAGAAUGGAAGCUUCCUUUUAUGCAUGGAGGUGCCCACCUAUAUAUAAAUAUUUAUUUUGGUGGAUUUGAUUAAAUAAGAUAAUGACUCGACUGCAUUCAUGAAAUCUCCAUUUAUUUCGUGAAAAUUGAAUAACAUGAAAAGCAUCUUCUAAAGGCCGAUCACUUGCAAAAAUAUUUAGAUAUAAAUUAUUGUUGGUAAUAACUAUAUUUUUAUUGACUAAUUAUUUCAUAUAAUAAAAGUGAAUAAUUUAAAAAAUAGUAAUUUUUUUCUAACUAUUUAUUAUUCAUAAAACAAAUGGAACGUGAGGGUACUUUUGAGCUCGAAGCCCAUUUUGGAUGAUUAUCAAUUAUUGGAAAAAUAAUUAGGAACACGUGACAGUGCCGUGCUGCUACAUUUCCCACGGGACAUUAACUUUUAAAAAAAAUAAUAAUAUAUAUUUUUUAUUUGUUUUAUUGAUAUAGACGUGUCCCACUUAUUUGAAAUCUUUUAUUAUUAUUAUUAUUAUUAUUAUUUUGUGAAUAUGUGGCCGUGCGUUGUCCCCCGUAAAUGUCACUUUUUAUGAAUGUGGCCCCCAACUCUUUUAAGUUUUUGUUCUCUUGCGCUUGCAAAUCACCUUUUUGGUGUGGCUCUUUUCCUUAAACAAUGUCAUGAAGAUCGACUUUUCUUUUCCCACGAUGAGGACGGUGGAAAGACCCUUUUGUUUCGAUUUCGGAAUUUUCCUUCUCUCGAAAAAAGUGAGAUCGAAAGUGAGAUCGGAUGAACGAUGCCAAUUUCAAGUAUUUAUUCACUUUGUUACAUCAAAUAGGACAACUUUUGGCCGUUUACUAAAAGAGAAUAACUUAUUAUAUUCUAUAGUGUGAAAUCCACGCUUCGAAUAUACUAUUAAAUAACAAUUACAUGUAGAUUAAGAGAAAAUACACUGCAAUUUCAAUGGAUUAUAUAUAUAUAUAAUUACAAAAGAGAGAGUUUAAUGGAUAAUGUAGAUUAGUCACUGUCACGGCAUCAUGUGAUUGUUUUAGUUAAUAAUGCAAUACCGAUUUUGAUGAGUCUAACGUAUUAUGUGGAUUAGUCAUUACUGCAGCAUCAUAUGGUUGUUUUCAUUUAUCUUUUUCUAGUGCAAUGCCGAUUGUGACGAGUUUAAAGCAUGCGUGUCGGUUAAUAAAUUAGUGCGAUCCCAGUUUUGAUGCGAGAUUAAGGCACGCCCCAGAAAAAAAAACAAAGAAGACAUAACGUGUGGAAUUCACGAAAAGGACGCGAAACCAACCAUUUGAUAAUGCCUAUGAGUUGGAGGGAGGCAGGAGGAAGCAAGCAAAAUUGAAGAGAAAUGGGCCAUCCGUUCCGGGAAAAAACCCACCUUCUCAAGCUAUCAUCAUCCCAGUUCAACUGCCGUUCUCGCCUAAUCAAUGGCGGCGUGGUUUAGGCCUUCUCUGGCCACAAAUCUUUCCCACUUGAAAGCGACAUGCCAUCCAAAAGGCACCUCCCCCUAUCUCGAUCUCGACCUUGACCUCGAACUCGGCCUCGACGCGGCUUGAGGAAGCUGUUCGGGGCAAAUCUCGGUGUCGGCUGCUGAGGACUAGAGAUCCGAGGUUAUGCUCGUUCUUACUUUCGGUAAUGAAAUGUUGGUCGGAAAUUCGAAUGUAUGCUCGAGAUGCGGAUGCAUAUUCAUGGUUGCAAGUAAGUUAGCGACCUACCCCGGUUCAUUGCUCAACACCCUUCAGCAUGACGACACUCAUGUUCGAUGGACUUGUCUAGGAAGCACACCUGGAGUAAAAUGAACGGGUUUGUCGACAUUCCCUUGUGCCCUCCUCGACCAAUAAGGUUUUUUCCAUGCACGUUACAAUUCAUCGAUCGGGAUGAAGUGAUGUGACAGGAUCGACAGUAAUUGUUCGGUUUUCCCGACGUGAUUGCUGCGAUGCCUUCCGAUUCCGGAAAGAAGAGAACAAAGCAAGACUUGAUUGACUCGGCGACAGCGUGUAUCAUCGAUGCCGCAUCAAAAUUGACCUAGGAUGUCCUUAGUGCGCUAAAGAACACUUCCACGAUGAGCUCCAUUUCUCUGCACUGCAUGUGUAGGCCCGUGACGUCGGUUUUUAGUUCUUUCUUCAUGGGCUUUUUGCAGCCCAUGAAAUGGAAUGGCCGGCUGCUCGUGGGCCCACAUACUCCCAAGGCCCGCUCAUCGAUAGUGGGCCAGCGGCCCAAUCAAACCAGCUAUCAACUUCAUCACUCUGGGCUUGGUUUAAGCCCCGAGUCACUAUAAAUGAUAUCAAAGCAUGAACGUCGAAUGAAAUAUAUCACGAUUUGAUGGAGCAAUGACCUAGGUUGCACGGACAUUCUCCGGGACUCUUCGUAUCGUGUCCGACACUCCGGCACGUGUCCAACAUGCGGUCAACUGCUUUCGAUAUGAUCCGACAUGAGAGUCGGAAAUUCCGACACGUGACCCCAACAUGCACGGGUUAUUUUUACAAUUUUUCAAAACUUUUGGGGUCUAAAUAUAAAUAUAUGAAAAUAAUAAAAGCUAAAACAAAUUUCCAAUACUCGUUUGAAGAUGUUGGGGUGGUUGAAGUUGAAAAUUUUUCACUUGAUGAGCCGAAGAUAAGUCCUUUUUUUUUUUAGAAGAAGAAGUGAAUAAUGUGGAUGAAUGACUUUUUGUUAUAUUUAAUGAUGGAAUGUUGAUUUUUUUUUCUUAUUGUUAAAUUUUAAAUUUAAUAAUGUAACGUGGAUUACUUGUUUUUUCCUCCAAAUUUAAUGGAUUAUUACAAUGAAAUGUAAUUGAAUUUGUCAAAUUAAAACAAUGAAUGAUAUUAACAAAUGUAGGAUUAAUGUUUUUAAUAUAGAUUAAUUCUAGGCUCUUUUCAUUAUUAUUUAGUUAUUUAUACAUUUAUAUAUUAAAAUAUUUAUUUCAUAUAUAACGUGUCGAAACGCGUUGAAAUUCUCUAUUUUUGAGAAAUAAUGUGUCGGCGUGUCUUGUCAUGUUAUGUCGUGUCGCAUAUCGUAUGUUCGUGUCGGUGCAACCUAAGCGAUGACUAGGGAUGAUUUUUACAAUGAUUCAACAUAGCCAUCCAAUCUGUUUGUAUUCGAUGGGGUGAACAUGGAAUCCGUGUUGUAUGCUUAAUCCCUAGAAUCGAGCACAUAAUUACGACGCGAGAGUGUAGUCAUCACGUACGAAAUUGGCACAUUUUUUUCGGUCUAACCAUGCCCCCAACUAAAAAAGGUACUCAUAAGAUGUUUUUCAUUUUUGUUGAUGCUCGACUGUGACAAAAGAAAAAUUUAUACGUGAUGGACAUUGGUAUUUGGCGCAAUUUUUCUUUUUGGAAAAAGAAUAUGAUGUGGUAUAUGAUAUUUCUACCCAUGUUCUUGUUGUAAUAUGGAGAAUAAAUGACAUAAAUGGUUCAUGAAUUCCUAAUAUGGUCCAUACUUUUAAAUUUAUUUAAUAUAGUCGUUGAAAUUUAGAUGGGCGCGUAACAUUGUUUUUAAAAUUUUAAUUUAUUUGAUGUGGUUUUUAAACUUUUAGUAGGUAUUCAAUUUAGUUGUUGGGCUUCAUGGAAACGUUUAAUAAUAUCAAAUAUUUUCAUGUAUAAAAUUAAAUAUAUAUCAAAAGUAUAAAAAUUAUAUUAAAUAAUUAAAAGUUUAAGGAUGAUUUUUGACACUGACUUAAAAUUCUUGGGGUCACGUUUGACUUUGUGUCGCCAUCCUUAAUAUGGAAAAGCGUGGGACACACGUCAGUCAAAUACAUCCCGGGCCCGCGAAAUCACGGAUGUCCCAUGCGGGACCCGUCAAUAUCAAGGGCCCUGAUGCGUCGGGGGCUGACGUGGCAUCGCAUCGCUCCGCCAAAUUUUCUCCUCCAGCACAAAUGGCGCCAUCCGCGGCAGGGCAGGAGGGAAAUCGCUGGGCCCCAUCUUUUCGCCCGUUAAAACAGCUCGUCGCCACGGCCUUCUUCGUCUUCCAUUUCAGUUCAGCUUUUUUCCCCCCCCACCCUCGACGAUAGGAUCUUCGCGUUUUCCGAUCCCGCUUUAACCGGGCGAAACCCGACGGAUUCUCAGACGAUCGAUCGAUCGAAAAUGGUGUGAACGACGCACGAAUCCCCCCGAGCGUUCGACGGGAUCGAGGCUGACGCAUCGGUCGUCGCUUCUCCUUUCGAAAAAGUAAUGCUCGUCGAGAUGAUUCGGACCUUCGUUCUGCCGAUCGCGUCCUCGUCGAAAUCGGCGUUCGCGCCGCCACCUUCGCGGAUUGCGUUAGCGGGAAGGUGGCUUCCCGCUCUACUUUAGCCGUCGGUUCCUAGCGUUUCCUGACGAUUUCUUGCUAUUUCGCGACGUUCGCGAGCGAGAACUGCGUGCAUGAGCCGCUGUUUGGUGUCAUUCGAUGCGUGAUUGAGUCGAGUUUUGCUUCCGUGUGACCGAUUCGUUCGAUGUAGAUGGACCGGAUGAGGCCUCUGUACGUCAGACAGCAGAGCAACCCUGGGACGCCGGGAGGGUCGGCGUCCCCGACCAGGUCGCCGCUCCACCGGUCGCCGCUUCACCGGCACGCGCGGUUGGGCUCCACGGGGUACAUGAAGUAGGCGCAGACGACAGCCGCCGCCCAGAGGCUGGCCCAGGUGAUGGCGCAUCAGCUCGGCAACGAUGAGGACGACGAGGAUGAUGACCUCUCGUAUGAGUACACUCCGGCCAGCGGCGUCGGAAGCAUCGGGCUGGCCGGUGGACGUGCUCCACAGGGUCGCUCGCCGAUGGUAUUCACUUGGCUGGACUAUUUAUGUCGAUUGGAAUUCGAUAUUUGUGGUAGUUUUCCAGCUGUAUGAGCGCAGUUCUUAACUUUUCUUUAAAUGGUACUUGGAUCAUGAAAUUAGUCUUCGAAGAAUCGACUUAGCAUAUUGAAUGAGUUCAUCAGAGAAGAUGCCGUCGAUCAACCGUCAUUGGCUCAGAUAUCGACUCCUACUCGGUCGGUUCAAUCUGCUGCUGCUGAACAAUCUCAACCGAGCCGCACGGUGGUUGUUGGCAGGUCUCCUCAGUCCGCUAACACAGAGCAACCAUCACUGGCUCGUAUAUCAACUCCAAUUCAAUCAUUUCAUUCUGCCACCGCCACCGCCGCCGCCGAACAAUCUCAACCUACUCGUUCCGUGUUGGCGGGCAGGUUGCCCCAGUCAGCUAACACAGAACAACCAUCAUUGGCUCAUAUAUCAACUCCCACUCAAUCAUUUCAUUCUGUUGCCGCCGAACAAUCUCAUCCUACUCGUUCGGUGGUGGUGGCGAGCAGGUCAUCUCAGUCAACUAACCCAGAACAACCUCCAUCCGCUCGGUCAACAUCAGGUAGCCGUCCAUUUUUAGGAGUUAAAACAGUGACUAUGGUGCCUGCUAGUGUCCCGAUAUCUUUAAAGCCAUCCUACUCUGCCAUUCCAACUGAACUCCAGUUGAACAUCGCAGAGACAAAAGGUAUUACUCAAAUCCUUGCUAGCAAAUUUAGCCACUUAGAAAGCUUUAUUACCGCUUUCUUCCUCAUUAAUUAGAGAUCAAAUUCAGGGUCAACACGAGUUUUCUCAAAUGUUUUAUGGAGGAAAGAACUUUUAUUUGUUCGGGGUACCCUUGUUUGGCUUUUGGAAGCACAGGCAUUGCGAUGUAAGCAACCGCACAUUGGGAUUGGGAAACUAGAAACAACCGCGCAUUGAAAUAUUUCUCGCUGUCAACUGAGAACAAUUUUUGACAUGUCGACAAAAAGAAUACCCUUAACUACUUGUUGCCCAAUUUGCUGUGUUGCUGUAAUAUUGUUGCUCUAUGUGUAUGCUUCCAUUAAUUGAAAGUUCUUGCGGUACUUUUAUUAGUGGGUUUUAGGGACUAUAUAGAAGAUAUUUGUUCUUCAUUGUUUAUAUUGUUUGAUAUAGUUCAUAAGCCAAAUGGCUGAUUUCUUUUGAUUUCAUCCUAUCAGCAGAUUGUCUGUGGAUUGGGAUAACGUGAGCACAAAAGAGACUAGCAAUCACCGAUCUGCUUCUGCUUUACAAGAUGAGGUAAGGACGUAUUAUGGGUUGCACAUAAACCAAGGCAGAAUGCAAUUGUUUAACACAUCCGGGCUAUACUAGAACAUCAAUAUGCUUGUCUGGUUUGUUUCUUCAGCUUGAUAUGCUACAAGAAGAGAAUGAGAGCUUACUUGAAAAGGUAAUGUUGCUUGUUCCUUUUCCCCCUAUCGACUUAUCUUUUUAGGACCGAGUCAAUUAAGGUAAUCUUAAGAGUAAAGUGAAUGGAAAUAAUACUAGUUAUCAGGCAUUAUUUCAAGAUGCUGCAGUGCCAGUAAGUUCGAAAUAUUAAAGUGGUAGUUCUAUCGUGCAGUAUCUUUAAGUACAAUUUCAGUCAUCGUCAAGUUGUAAGUACUUUAGGACUAUGAUAAAUAUCCAUGGGGUUGUAGUUCUAUUCUUUAUUUAUUUCUACUAGCUCCAUCUUGAUGGUAGAUACUUGCUCUUGCCAGCUUCAACGUGCAGAAGAGAGGUGUGACGAAGCAGAGGCUAAAGCUUGGCAGCUUGAGAAGCAGGUGUGGUACUUUGUUCACUCUAUUUUGUGUAUUGUCAAUGACCUCUUGUAUAUAUCUCAUGGGAUCUCUUUUCUCAGAUUUCUUCUCUAGGUGAAGGGGUAAAUUUGGAAGCUCGUCUUUUGAGCAGACAAGCGUGUCAUUGUCUUCGGCGUUGUUUCUUGAUGAUGCCAAGUUUUAUGCUUUCUAACAUUUGCUUCUUGAUAGCUCUUCAGAAAGGAAGCAGCCUUGCGGCAAAGGGAGGUCUGUUUUCUACCUUGCUUAGCUUUUCAAGCACUUAUAUUUGGCAUCUUUUCUUUGUUUUUGGGGCACCACUCCUGAAGAUGGAUGAUAUUGCAUGCUAUCACAUCGAUCAACAUAGAUUGUCCCGGGCAUGAUUAUGCUUCCUAAAGCAGAGUUUGUGCCAUCUCAUUAUUUUAGAGACUCUUUGUCUGUGGGGAAGACACGUAAGGACAUACACACGAAUAAUGACAAUGCAGAAACGUAAACGAAGCAAGCGAAAGGAAGCCAAGAAGAUGGAGAGAUAUUCUAGACCGAGAUUACUAAGAUAAUUGAAUCUUCAAUUUUGCUUGAUUUUUUACCAAGUCACUUUGCCAAGAAGAAAUCCAGGCCGGGGGCAGGGGGUGCAAGAACAAAAAGAUCUACUUAUGGAACAUUAAGAGGAACUCUGACGAUAUGUAGGGUAACCCUGUAUAGAAUGUUCUAACUCUGCUGUGUGUACUCUCCGCCAGGUAAAUAGAGGAAGAGCAAUUGUGGGGAUUAGAUCGUAAUGGUCAGACAUAAGCAUUUGUUUACUUAAUGCUAGAACUAGAAACUACAUGCCGAUCCUUUGCUUGAUCAACAACAUCUAGAAUGUUAUGGCUUGGCAUGUGGAUGAAUGCGGAUGCAGCACUCGUUAUUUUUGUUCAGCUUUCAAAAUCUCGCAGGAUAUGGUUCUAAUCUUGCAAAAUAUUAUCUCAGUAAUGAAUCAUUCAGUUUGUACAUGAGGGGGCUUCUUUCUUCUUCUGUUUUUUUUUUUUUUUUGGAGGGGUACGGGGAGGACCAGAGCCUUCAUUAACCAAUACUGAAAUUUUUGUAGGCUGCUCUAAGAGAUGCGGGACAGACUCAAGGAGGGAAAACACAAGAGAUUGCUGCUCUUCAAAUUGAAGCUGAGGUAUUCUCAACUUCCAAUACACAUGCUACAUGUUAGUUACUUCUAGUUCUUGGAGCAAACUGAUGAACUUAUUGAUCUUUUUAUGUGCUAAAUCUUGAGUAGAUAGCAAGGGAUGAGGCAACAUCUGCAUGGGAGAAGCUUCAGGAAGUUCAUACAAUUUCUCAGAGGACCAUACUGACCCAAGAAGAAAUGGUUGUCAAGUCAAGCACUUUUCAUGUGUUUUAUGUUAUUCAUAUAAAUAACAUUUCCUGCCAAUUGUCAUCUUAGGAGGAAGUGGUCCUAAGAGAUGUUGGCUUGCUCGGUACUGGAGUCUAUGUAUUAAAUACGGUAAGUCAUUCUCGUAACUGAGAACAUACCAGUAAAACAACCAAAAAAAUAAAAAAAGCACAUAAUUGAUCUGAUAAUUUAGGAGCAAUUUGAAGGAUCCAACAAAUAGAGUAUUCCAGUAAAACAACCAAAAGGUAAACCCAGCUUAAAAAUAUAAAAAAUGGCAGCCGACAUGCUUCCGCAUGUUAGAAUUGGUGUUCGACUUUUACAGAGAUAUCAUUAAUUCAUGAACAGCAACAACAGGAAACAGGAUCGAGCCGGGUACAAGUCUAAACAAAACACAAUCCACAGGGUACACAUUGACAGUUCAAAAACAAUUGAAUCCUCCUUCGACCCUGCUGAACAAAUUCUUUGAACAUCCCAAGAUACACCAAUCUGGCGAGUCAUCUCUUGCGCUCGGAAAGGCCAUCAAUCACCUCCAUUCCUCAACUACCGUAAGUUCGAUCCAUCGGUAACUAUGUUUCUAAACUCUUUCACAAGUAGCUGUGAAGAUGAAGAUGAAGAUGAAGAAAUGAAUCAAGAUACAGAGGAAUCAGCAAAUGAAAUACUUCGAAUCACUCUAUUUCAAUAUGAUUGUAGUACAAAGCUUCUGUAUAUCAAUGACAGCUUAUGAAUACAAAUCCUCUGUUUUACAUCCCCUGUUUUCUAUCUCUCUAUCUCAGCACGUAUCAGCUAUAUAAUGCAGAGCAUCCAUUGAUGAUUGCUCUCUAAGCGCUCUCUCUCUCUCUCUAUCUUUCUUCUCUCUUCGCUUCCUUAUCCAUGGAAGAAGAAGAAGACUACUUAUAUCAGAAAAGAACAACAAACUGAAUACAACUAACUGUUUCUUAAUUUGUUUCACCACUCUAGACCGAAUAACAGCACGUGUGUCAGUUGAGAUCUACACGACUUGGCGAUCCACAUCUUCUUUAUUUCAGGCUUUCUUAAUCAUUGAUAACGAUCCAUGUCUGCCUUCAUCACGAGCUCUUCACCGUUGAUCAUCAGCUCAUUUUUUCCCACGUGUUCUUUGCUUCGCUUUGCUGCUCCGUAUAACUCUUUCUCUUCAUUGUUCUUUCUCUUCCAGCAUCAGUGUUAUCUGCUGAAUUAUAGUGGCUGAGUGAGACUUUGUUCCUAUAUGCUUAACAGCAGCGAGCAAAAGACUUUACACAAACGCAUUUCCAACAGCCUCACUAACUCGUUGCGGAGUCCGCAAAAGAUUAAGCAAACGAAAACUCCGCCCGAUGGCAUCGCCGAUCGAUCUCCCCGCAACCCACCGCUACAAUCAAUUCAGCACUAUGCGGACGAACCGAAACUCAGCAGAAUCUAACCGCGAAACCUCCCUUCCACGCGCAAACGAAGCGGGAAGAGAAGAGGAGGGCGGGGAAGAAGGAGAAGAACGAACGGCAGAGGCGACGGCUGUACCUUGGGGCGCUCGAGGGUGAUGGGGCGGAACCUGGUGGCGAAGCUGUCGGCCAGGAGCACCGCCUGGAGCGGCACGCGCGCCAGGCCCUGGCCGGGGCCUUCUUCGGCGCGCCCAUGUCUUCCUUUCUCCGCCGCCUCGAUAAGAGAGAGAGAGAGAGAGAGAGAGAGUAGCAAGUUCGAUGAGUGGAGUUUUUUCCUGCUCCGGUUAGCCCGAAUGAGAACGGAUCCGAGUGAAGCUCAUUUUUAACCCGGUCAACAAAAUUUCUCCUCUUGGACCCAAAGAAAAAAAAAACACAAAAUUUCUUCUCAUUCAACAAAAUAAUAAUAAAAACCACUGAGAUUCGCCCUAGUCGCCAUUCUUCCAACAUGGAAGGGGGAGGUGAGGGGUUUAAAUCCCCACCUUCUCAAGGGGAAUGGGGUGGGGAUGCCUAAGUUUUAGGAGUGGGUUUCGACUCCCACACCUUGCAAGAGGCAGGGUAAAAGUCUAAGAGUGAGUGUAACGUAGAAAUAGAAUAGAACUAAAAAAAAAAAAACAAAAUAAUAAUAAUAAUAAUUUCUAACCUACGAGAGAUGCUAUUGCUAUUGCUAUUAUUAGUUUUGUCGUGAUUGAUCAAGAUCCAUGAUCCAACUAAUUCGAGGUAUUCCCCUAUUGUGCAAACUCGAGUGUAGUCUUGAACAGGCUGAUUUAAUCUUAGUUUUUGUCCGAACUCGACCCGAUGCUCACCCCUCUAACAAUCGCCCAUGAGGCAUUGAGCCACAAGCAUGCCAACACGGAACCACGUGGAAUUUCAGGAGGUGAAAGAGAAAAGUUAAUUCAUUAACUCUUCGCAGCCGAUAUAAUUAUACAAAUGAUCCAUGAAUUUUGGUAAGAUAUGUAAUGUGAUUUAUAAACUUUUGAUUUAUUUAAUAUAGCUCAUGAACUUUAUCUAGAUAUGUAAUACCAUUUUAAAAUUUUUAAUUUGUUCAAUAUAAUUCAUAAUUCUUUGGUAAAUGUUCAAUUCGAUCUCUAGACUAUAUGAAAAUAUCCAUUGUUAUUAGCCUAUUAAUUUAAAUUCUUCAUAAUAUUGAAUAUUUUUAUGUAGUCUAAAAAUUAAAUUAGAUAUAUACAAAAAAUUUAAGGACCAUAUUAAAUAGAUCAAACGUUCAGAAAUUAUAUUGCACAUCAAACUAAAAUUUUAAAACCAUAUUACAUUAAUUAAAAGUUUAAAUACCCCAUUACACUUUUGACCAAAGUUAAGGGCUUAAAUUAAAUAUCUUGACGUUUUUUUUUUUUUUUGGUCAGAAAAAAUAUCUUGACGUUGAAAGAGAGUUUUUUUGUUUUGAUUCUUCAGGGACCAUUUGCGCUUAGUCAUCCAAAGUACUAAACGACGGCUAUUGUAAAGCUAUGCUUGACUGAAAGUUCGAGGUUUUUUAUGUUCAUUGAAAUAGAGUCGCGUAGAAACUCAAUGUCUUAUGUCUGUUUACAGCUGUUACCAAUCACAGAAAGCUCGUCAUCGAUUCACAUAUCACUGAAAAAAACCCGAGUUCAUAGCGGGAUACAUUUGACUUGCUACCAUUCCGUUCUCAGGAUCCAUCACCACCGCUAACUAGUUCCUCUCUCAAAAAUACUCUGUCAUGAGUGCUCGAUCUCCUGUCUUCCAUAACCUUUGCAAUGGUAGCUUGAGCCUACAAAGGAUCCACAUGAAACUUCAUUAAUCUGUCCCUGGAAUUUAGGCAAUGAAAGUAUACCAAACGCCCGUGGUUCAAUAUCGACAACAAGCAACAACAUUCUAUUAAAAUGAUUACCGAAUUGCCAAAAUCAAUAUAGCAAUGCCCGUGGUUUAAUAUUGACAACAAGCGACAACAUUCUAUUAAAAUGAUUACCGAAUUGCCAAAAUCAAAGUAGCAAUAGGACCGGGUCAUAUUCAGAAGAACCAAAUCAGCCAAUUUGAAGUUAUAGCGACUCUAUUCCAUACAGUAGUCAAAUGGUAAGUACAGGAACACACGAACAUACAUGGACUACUCUGCGCUGAUGCAGACAUGAGUAAACACUGCCAUGAACAUAUUCAUUCAAUCUUGGAGAAGUAAACUCCAGCAAACAAGACGAAUGAAACCAGAAUUUUUAGACUAACCUCGCUGAGUCUUGAUUCAAGUUCAUUUAGUUCGACUUUAUCUCCUCCACAUCUCUGGAUAAACUCACUUCCUCCAUAUUUGUGGUCACAAAUGGCUGCGACGCGACGUCCUUUGCCUUCUCCACCACAAUCUCCUCCGCCAAGUUGUUUUUAUCGUCUGACUUCACAUCCUUUGCUGCCUUCAUCACAAUCUCCUCUGCCAAGCUUUCUCUCUCUUCUGAUUUCACUUCCCUCGCUGCUUUCAUCACAGUCUCCUCUGGUAAGUUCUUUUCCUCCUCUAACUUCACAUCCUUUGCUGUCGUUACAACAAUCUCCUCCUCUAAGUUCUUUUUCUCCUCUGACUUUACAUCUUUUGCCGCUUUCAUCACAAUCACCUCUGCUAGGUUCCUUUUCUCCUCUGACUUUACAUCCUUUUCCACAUGCAAGUCCCCAUUGUUUAAUAUGUUGAUGAAGUCAACAGGCUUAGCCACC
This 17498-nucleotide long non-coding RNA is filed under the name Eucalyptus grandis. RNAcentral describes it as "long non-coding RNA (EGRA_LNC005267)". The record is from RNAcentral. Lineage: Eukaryota; Viridiplantae; Streptophyta; Magnoliopsida; Myrtales; Myrtaceae.